AUGCCAACUGAGCAUUGGACUACCACCGCCUGCCCCUGGCUCAGCGCCCGGUGCCAACAGAACACCUUUCAGGAUCCACAGCAACGCAGACAACAUUUUAAAGCACCUGAUGGAUUUGGAAAAUAUUUGAUGAAGACAAUGAUGCUGACAUUUCAAGUUAAAAGAAUCAUUACUAAUAAGAGGAAAGCAGAGAGAGACCCAAACCCAAUGAAAAACCAUAGGAAGCUACGGAACACAUGAAAAUCCCAGCUGGUGAAUAAACUCUAUCACGAUGGCAAAACAGCGUGAGUGAAAAUCUUUUAAACAUGCUUCAGCUGCAGGAGCUAAAUGUUGAGAAAUUCAAGAUUAAGAUGAUGCUUGAGAGAACUGAGGGGCACUCACGUUCACCCCUCUAGGAAAACCCUGCCUGUGGUCUACUGAGUCAUACACCAUUAGGGUGAUAAGGCAAGCUCAGCUGUUAAAGACAUGUCUUUCCUAUAAUGUAUAUAUCAAACAACAUGGCAGAGACGUUAUGGCUCAGCUCCCUGAAUCGAGUUAUCUCUAAAAUGAAGAUUAGAUAUUAAAUAGUUUUAUUACUCUAUUAUUAGAGUUAUAACAAAUCUAAGUGCUAAAUUCCUUUGAAUAUAUUGUCCUUCAUGCCAAGCUGGCAAUACCAUAAAGAUAAUAACUGAGGUAGAAUAUUUAACAAAUAUUUAUUGAUCACCUACUAUGUGCGAAACUACAAAGAUAAAUCAGACUUGGUCUUGGACUUGCAGGAGUAAAACUUCAUGUUCCAUGAGGAUAAUAGAUAUACAUAAAUAACACCCACACUGACUAUAACAUGGGUGUGUGUAGGGAGGAAGGUGAGGAAGAAUGAAUAAAGAUGACAGUUGGGAAAAGGUAGUUUAUAUAACAUUCCAGUGUGGUCUUGGAGUUUUCAUCCUGACUGGAUUACUAACGAGCUGCGUGACCUUCAGCCAGUCUCUGUGCUUUCGUUUUCUCGUCUGUAAAAUGAAGCGGUUAUUCUGUAAUGAUCUCUGAGGUCCCCCUUCAGAACAAAGACUCUUUAAUUUUAUUAUCCUGUUCUCAUAGGAUAAUAAAUAAAUACAUAUAAUGUAAGAAUAUAACUGCUUUCAAAAAUAAAAUUUAAAAAUUUUUUGCCAUAAAACAGUUUUAG
RNAcentral lists this long non-coding RNA (1156 nucleotides) under Macaca nemestrina (pig-tailed macaque). Its description in RNAcentral is "lncRNA (ENSMNEG00000045951.1)". The record is from RNAcentral. Lineage: Eukaryota; Metazoa; Chordata; Mammalia; Primates; Cercopithecidae.